Molecule: long non-coding RNA, 222 nt
Organism: Mytilus trossulus (common blue mussel)
Lineage: Eukaryota; Metazoa; Mollusca; Bivalvia; Mytilida; Mytilidae
Exons: 2
Source: RefSeq, a predicted model, not a curated record
AGGGUUAAGAUGAAAGAGUGUUUUGACAACAUGGUGCUUUUCCUCAACCAACAUAAAGUAAAGUGAUGGUUUCCCAUAUAGUAGGUCACAAGAAAGAUGCAAGAAUUCGUGAAUAUGAACAUUGGAAAAGCACCACUAACUGAAAGAUGUGUUUUAUGUACAUUAUAAAUCUAAUAUUGUAAAAAAAAACUGUGUUCCUCAAAUAAAAUAUCAUAAGUACUA